RNAcentral lists this ribosomal RNA (110 nucleotides) under uncultured bacterium. RNAcentral describes it as "partial 16S ribosomal RNA". It matches the Rfam family "Bacterial small subunit ribosomal RNA", at positions 1373 to 1482 of the family's 1533-position model. The record is from RNAcentral.
CCCGGGCCUUGUACACACCGCCCGUCACACCACGAGAGUUUGUAACACCCGAAGUCGGUGGGGUGACCGUAAGGAGCCAGCCGCCUAAGGUGGGACAGAUGAUUGGGGUG